UAUAAACGUUUCCUUUCUAUUAUCAAUUGCCGUCUGCACACAAGGAAGCUGCGAAGAAGCUAGCUCCAGAAAAAAGAGGCCACCACCUAGAACUACACAUGGAGGAGGAUACGUACAAAAAAUCAACAAGCAACGGUCCGUCCAAGAAACCAGAAGUGGCCACCGGCCUCCAUCUCCGCCUGGCCUUGUCCAGGCCAUCGACGGCAACCUGAUCUGGUCAAGAGUCGUCGCCGCACCCAACGCCUCCUCGCCCGCGCGCCUCCACGCCAGCUCCGCCUCGAGCCGCCCACUUCGCCCCGCUCGCGCGCCUUCGCGUUAGCUCCGCCUCCAGCAGCCCGCUUCGCCGCGCCCGCGUGCCUCUGUGCACAGCUCCGCCUCGAGACACCCACUUCGCCAUGCCGGCUUACCUCCGUGUAGCCAUGCGCUCGCGCUGGGCCUGCUUCCCCACACUGGCUCCACUCUCAAGACCGCACCC
Molecule: long non-coding RNA, 475 nt
Filed under: Hordeum vulgare
Lineage: Eukaryota; Viridiplantae; Streptophyta; Magnoliopsida; Poales; Poaceae
Description: long non-coding RNA (HVUL_LNC007215)
Source: RNAcentral